CCACGGACUCGAACCGGGUACUAUAGCUAAUGAGUCAACCUAUAUGGGCUGGACCACGGACUCGAACCGGGUGCUGUAGCCAAAGGUCGGGCACGGGUGGGCUGGACCACGGACUCUAACCGGGUACUGUAGCUAAGCCUGGACAUAAGUAAGCUGGACCACGGACUCUAACCGGGUGCUGUAGCUAAGAAUCAAUAUCCAACCAUACGUCGCGGGAAAUAUCACCAAACCGAUUACCAUAAAUAAUCAUUUCAGUCCGAUCCUCAUAUACCCCAAGUCGCCGAGGAAGUAUCCAAUAAUGAGUAAGCUAGACCACAGACUUUAACCUGGUACUGUAGCCGAUAGAAAAUCAGGGCAUUAUGGAUACAAGGUCAUAAGCUGAGUUACCGCCUAGCUAAGGCUCAGACUAUCAGACUCAAGUCUGCUAUAUCAGUCUACAAGGAGCUGAGCGUCCGAAACGACGUCGGAA
Molecule: long non-coding RNA, 469 nt
Organism: Solanum tuberosum (potato)
Lineage: Eukaryota; Viridiplantae; Streptophyta; Magnoliopsida; Solanales; Solanaceae
Exons: 2
Source: RefSeq, a predicted model, not a curated record